UUUUAGUGCAAAUUUGGAGACGCACCCUAAAAGGUGCCGGGGCUUCUCCCGUUUUAAGAGAGACGGGAGAAGG
This 73-nucleotide transfer RNA is filed under the name Cyrtodactylus intermedius. RNAcentral describes it as "tRNA-Cys". The record is from RNAcentral. Lineage: Eukaryota; Metazoa; Chordata; Lepidosauria; Squamata; Gekkonidae.